AAAGAACUGCCACCGGAUAGUUCAUGCGAUAAGCAUUAAGUCUAUACAUCGUUAGGUCUUAGAAGAUGUAUAGAAGUGAUGCCUAUUUUU
RNAcentral lists this non-coding RNA (90 nucleotides) under unclassified sequences. The record is from RNAcentral.